UGCAUUGGACACAGUUAUGGAAUACCAAAAAAAGGAACAGUAGUAAAUUAAAUAUGGAGGGAACAGCUCACACGAAAGUUGGAUCAAUUAAUUGGUUGAUCGAUGAGCAAAAUAUCACCUUAAAGAAAAUCAAGGAAUAAACAACCUAUCUACGACGAGUCUCCGACGUCCUUUUCGGUGAAAUAACAGAUGACAAGGAGUAAACAAGGCAAGGCAACAGUCAUGCCUAUGCCCCCCGCGACGGACGCGACAUGUUCGAUCUUGGUCCCAGGAUAGUUGUUGUUGAAGAAUAUCACGAGGAGGAUUGAGAUGACGUAUAACGCGAUAGCAAAGAAGAACGUCAUGCACAUGCACAUGCACAUGCACGUGAACCCGAUGCCCUCGCUCGGCUCCCCCACCCUCGCCGCGAGCUCAUCGUCGCCCUUCUUGGGUCCAGGAUUCUCGACGUCGGCCAUCGACCUCCUUCUUUUCUUCUCUUUUCUUUUGCUGGGCUGACUCUUGAUCAACGAUCGAUCUAGUAGGCAGGGGCGUCGAUAUCUCGGUGGUGAGGCGUGAUCGUUGAAAAGGAGAAGACUAGGACCAGGCUCGUCCUAGGGUUCCUCCUUAUAUAUUAUGAUGGGCUAGCUGUUUGGAUGGAGUCCUGAUAGGCAGCUCCUCCCUCAGGCAGCAAUUCUGACUUCAGGCCUCCGAAAUCGUGCCUGAGACAGACAGCUUAUUUACUACUCCGAGCAUAGGUUGUUUAAACCGAUAUACUCUUGGGAAACUGUUGGGAACCGAUAUACUCCG
RNAcentral lists this long non-coding RNA (786 nucleotides) under Hordeum vulgare. Its description in RNAcentral is "long non-coding RNA (HVUL_LNC008486)". Lineage: Eukaryota; Viridiplantae; Streptophyta; Magnoliopsida; Poales; Poaceae. The record is from RNAcentral.